RNAcentral lists this ribosomal RNA (446 nucleotides) under uncultured bacterium. Its description in RNAcentral is "partial 16S ribosomal RNA". It matches the Rfam family "Bacterial small subunit ribosomal RNA", at positions 338 to 795 of the family's 1533-position model. The record is from RNAcentral.
CCUACGGGUGGCAGCAGUCGAGAAUCAUUCACAAUGGGGGAAACCCUGAUGGGGCGACGCCGCGUGGGGGAAUGAAGGUCUGCGGAUUGUAAACCCCUGUCAUGUGGGAGCAAAUUAAAAAGGUAGUACCACAAGAGGAAGAGACGGCUAACUCUGGGCAAGCAGCCGCGGUAAUACAGAGGUCUCAAGCGAUGUUCGGAAUCACUGGGCGUAAAGCGUGCGUAGGCUGUUUCGUAAGUCGUGUGUGAAAGGCGCGGGCUCAACCCGCGGACGGCACAUGAUACUGCGAGACUAGAGUAAUGGAGGGGGAACCGGAAUUCUCGGUGUAGCAGUGAAAUGCGUAGAGAUCGAGAGGAACACUCGUGGCGAAGGCGGGUUCCUGGACAUUAACUGACGCUGAGGCACGAAGGCCUGGGGAGCGAAAAGGAUUAGAUACCCGAGUAGUC